RNAcentral lists this ribosomal RNA (496 nucleotides) under uncultured bacterium. RNAcentral's name for it is "partial 16S ribosomal RNA". It matches the Rfam family "Bacterial small subunit ribosomal RNA", at positions 30 to 523 of the family's 1533-position model. The record is from RNAcentral.
AUUGAACGCUGGCGGCAUGCCUUACACAUGCAAGUCGAACGGUAGAGGGGGCAACCCCUCGAGAGUGGCGAACGGGUGAGUAAUAUAUCGGAACGUGCCCAGUCGUGGGGGAUAACGUAGCGAAAGUUACGCUAAUACCGCAUACGAUCUAAGGAUGAAAGCGGGGGAUCGCAAGACCUCGCGCGAUUGGAGCGGCCGAUAUCAGAUUAGGUAGUUGGUGGGGUAAAGGCUCACCAAGCCAACGAUCUGUAGCUGGUCUGAGAGGACGACCAGCCACGCUGGAACUGGGACACGGUCCAGACUCCUAAGGGAGGCAGCAGUGGGGAAUGAUGGACAAUGGACGCAAGUCUGAUCCAGCCAUUCCGCGUGCAGGAUGAAGGCCCUCGGGUUGUAAACUGCUUUUGUACGGAACGAAAAGGUCUCUCUUAAUACGGGGGACUCAUGACGGUACCGUAAGAAUAAGCACCGGCUAACUACGUGCCAGCCGCCGCGGUAA